Rhododendron vialii is the source of this 684-nucleotide long non-coding RNA. RefSeq lists it as uncharacterized. The transcript has 3 exons. NCBI's taxonomy places the organism in Eukaryota, Viridiplantae, Streptophyta, Magnoliopsida, Ericales, Ericaceae. The record is from RefSeq and is a predicted model, not a curated record.
UUAGACAUUCUUGUUUCUUAAUUAUUAUAUUUUUCUGUUUCGAAAAUCAGCACGUCGUUUGCAGGCAAGAUUCAGAGUGAUGUUUCGUUCUCUGGUAAAACAUACUAUGGAUGUUAUUAGAAGUCCUGAACAAUUUCUGAGAAUAUAUUGUUGGAUGACGAUCGGCAAUGUUAUAUGUUGGAGAUCUGUCAAAGGGUUUGCUCUCAAGCAAGAGUUGAAUACAUUGAAGAACACCGCUGGUCGUACAGAUCGAAGUUAGAGACCCUUAAUACUUGCAUCUGCAGUGUUAUUUAUUUUUCAUGGUUCUGUGUAUAUAAAGAUAAUGUAAGACAACAUACUAUUGUUGACCUAUUUUGUUUCUGGCAAGGGGGUUGUCAUGUAAUGGUUGUUUUUAUUAUUUCCUAAUAAUGGAGGAGGAGAGAAAAGAGACCUUUUGUAAUCUUGCUCUAAGCUAUACUAGUAUUCAGCUAAUAGAACGCUGAAUUUUCAGUUUGCCUCUUUUAUAUGGAUGCCAUGCCAGUAUUUGAAACGGGCCGCAUCUUCAUGUGAAAUUUUGCUGUUAGGUUGUGUGGAACCUAUGGAAGACAUAGGGGGUCUAUUUCUUUCAAUUUUUACGUUUCCGUGUGAAAUGUUUUCCUUCAAUUUCAGAAUUUGAUUGUGGAUAACCUAGAUAUGAGUUCUUUU